AUACGUAGGGGGCGAGCGUUGUCCGGAAUGAUUGGGCGUAAAGGGCGCGUAGGCGGCCCGGUAAGUCUGGAGUGAAAGUCCUGCUUUUAAGGUGGGAAUUGCUUUGGAUACUGUCGGGCUUGAGUGCAGGAGAGUUAAGUGGAAUUCCCAGUGUAGCGGUGAAAUGCGUAGAGAUUGGGAGGAACACCCGUGGCUAAGGCGACUUACUGGACUGUAACUGACGCUGAUGCGCGAAAGUGUGGGGAGCAAACAGGAUUAGAUUCCCUGGUAGUCCACACUGUAAACGAUGAGUGCUAGGUGUAGGGGGUAUCGACCCCGUGUGUGGCGCAGUUAACACAAGAAGCAUUCCGCCUGGGGAGUACUGGUGCAAUGUUGAUUCUCAAAGGAAUUGACGAGG
RNAcentral lists this ribosomal RNA (397 nucleotides) under uncultured bacterium. Its description in RNAcentral is "partial 16S ribosomal RNA". It matches the Rfam family "Bacterial small subunit ribosomal RNA", at positions 523 to 918 of the family's 1533-position model. The record is from RNAcentral.